AUACGUAGGGGGCGAGCGUUGUCCGGAAUGAUUGGGCGUAAAGGGCGCGUAGGCGGCCCGUUAAGUCUGGAGUGAAAGUCCUGUUUUCAAGAUGGGAAUUGCUUUGGAUACUGAUGGGCUUGAGUGCAGGAGAGGUUAUCGGAAUUCCCGGUGGAGCGGUGCAAUGCGUAGAGAUCGGGAGGAGCACCAGUGGCGAAGGCGGGUAACUGGACUGCAACUGACGCUGAGGCGCGAAAGUGUGGGGAGCAAACAGGAUUAGAUACCCUGGUAGUCCACACUGUAAACGAUGAAUGCUAGGUGUAAGAGGUAUCGACCCCUUUUGUGCCGGAGUCAACACAAUAAGCAUUCCGCCUGGGGAGUACGGCCGCAAGGUUGAAACUCAAAUGAAUUGGCGGGG
Molecule: ribosomal RNA, 397 nt
Filed under: uncultured bacterium
Lineage: Bacteria
Description: partial 16S ribosomal RNA
Rfam family: Bacterial small subunit ribosomal RNA
Source: RNAcentral